This 253-nucleotide ribosomal RNA is filed under the name uncultured bacterium. RNAcentral describes it as "partial 16S ribosomal RNA". It matches the Rfam family "Bacterial small subunit ribosomal RNA", at positions 524 to 776 of the family's 1533-position model. The record is from RNAcentral.
UACGAAGGGGGCUAGCGUUGUUCGGAAUUACUGGGCGUAAAGCGCGCGCAGGUGGUCUUUCAAGUCAGUGGUGAAAGCCCGGAGCUCAACUCCGGAAAUGCCAUUGAAACUGUGAGACUUGAGGACGAGAGAGGUGAGUGGAAUUCCCAGUGUAGAGGUGAAAUUCGUAGAUAUUGGGAAGAACACCGGUGGCGAAGGCGGCCCCCUGGACCGGUACUGACGCUGAGGCGCGAAAGCGUGGGUAGCAAACGGG